CAACUCUGGGCUUUCUUCAGUUCACGCACAAAUCUUUCGCCUUUUACUAAAGAUUUCCGUGGAGAAGGCCAAAACGAUGAGUAUAUAGACGAUUUUUCUACUGUCUCACUUCGGCGGGACGA
This is a small nuclear RNA of Hydractinia symbiolongicarpus, 122 nucleotides long. RefSeq annotates it as U5 spliceosomal RNA. The transcript has a single exon. NCBI's taxonomy places the organism in Eukaryota, Metazoa, Cnidaria, Hydrozoa, Anthoathecata, Hydractiniidae. The record is from RefSeq and is a predicted model, not a curated record.